Molecule: ribosomal RNA, 253 nt
Filed under: uncultured bacterium
Lineage: Bacteria
Description: partial 16S ribosomal RNA
Rfam family: Bacterial small subunit ribosomal RNA
Source: RNAcentral
UACGAAGGGGGCUAGCGUUGUUCGGAAUUACUGGGCGUAAAGCGCGCGCAGGCGGCUAUCCAAGUCAGUGGUGAAAGCCCGGAGCUUAACUCCGGAACUGCCAUUGAAACUGUUUAGCUUGAGGACGAGAGAGGUGAGUGGAAUUCCCAGUGUAGAGGUGAAAUUCGUAGAUAUUGGGAAGAACACCGGUGGCGAAGGCGGGUCUCUGGGCCGAUAUUGACGCUGAGGAGCGAAAGCGUGGGGAGCGAACAGG